Molecule: long non-coding RNA, 421 nt
Organism: Schistocerca americana (American grasshopper)
Lineage: Eukaryota; Metazoa; Arthropoda; Insecta; Orthoptera; Acrididae
Exons: 3
Source: RefSeq, a predicted model, not a curated record
CUAGACGCGUUUGAAGACUAAAAAUUUCGUUCGAAUGAUUAAGUUUCGUGGAAGAUGUAUAGUAAACAAUUUCACUCAGAGAAAAUUACUAAGAAUAACAAUGAUGCAAAGUACUGGCUGUACAGCAGAUGCGCGCGCAGCAAAGCUUCCACAGAAGUCCACGGGAAGCGCCACAAGCGUUACAAGCCUUGCAGUUGCACUGACUCUGCUAGGUUUACGGCCAUUUUAUUUUUGUGACGUGCGUUAAUUAUUGUUGACUGUUGUGAAGUUUGUUUUAUACUGGAAAAUAGUUCGGAAAGUGUGUGGCGCCCCCUGUCUUACUGCUACACCGGGUCUGAAGAAGAUAUAUAGUGUAUUACAGGAUCAUUAUACCAUCAGAAGUCAGCGAUAUUUGAUCCUGUUCUGGUCUGUGUGCUGGGGC